Molecule: long non-coding RNA, 4432 nt
Organism: Crotalus tigris (Tiger rattlesnake)
Lineage: Eukaryota; Metazoa; Chordata; Lepidosauria; Squamata; Viperidae
Exons: 5
Source: RefSeq, a predicted model, not a curated record
UGAGCGAAGGCAACCAAUUUUCAAGUAUAGAUUUCUACAAUUUUUUUUUUUUUUUUGCUAAGGUACUUGCAUUACAAUGCGGCUUCUUCCUCCACCCCCACACAUCCCCAGCAAGUAAAGAUCCGUGUUCUUGUUUGUUGUCCAUUUCCUUAUUGUUGCUGCUGUGUCUAAUAGUUGGUUAAGUGGAGGCUCCCUUGUGAUCUUAUGAAAGUGAAGUGUCCCACCAGUUUGUUUGCGACUGGUCAGGUCAAGAAAAUUCUGACCUCUGAUCUGCUACACUCUAGAGGCCCAUGAGUGAUGUCACUGGCUUGCCCUGUUAACAUUUUGCAAUGGUGCUAGCCUUUUAUUUGUUUUUAGAAAAUGGCUGGGGAAACUUAGAAGCUCUCUACUUGUCCAUUUUAAGAUCAUUGAUUUGUGCUGCCAAAGAACUCUGUGCACAGAGUUGCUCUUUCAUCUCCAGAUACACAACAAGAACCACCAAUAUCAAGACUGUGGUCUAGGCAGAAAUUAUCUCAUAAAACCUCUUGAACUCCGUUGAUACUCCAUUGUGCUGGUUUUGGAGCACUUGAAAUCCAAUAGGCGGUAAUGUAAUAUUGGAAUAGAGAAAAAGCAAAGGAUAGGAAUCAGAGAAUAGAUCAUUUCUGCCAUUUUACAUUCUUUUUUCAACCCCAUUCUCUUAAGAAGUGCUAGUUUACAGUUUCCAUCAUCCACAGUCAGCAUAUGGAAAACAUUCUCAAAAGCCAACCCAGGGAGAAGCCAACCUGUCUCUUCCCCUCCAGGGCACCAGUCGGGAAGCUUUGUAUCCUUCAUUGCUUUUGCUUUUCAAAUGGACUCUGAGUGGCAAGUUUCACUGUAUAUGGUGAUUUUCCACAAUGGGAAGCACCUUUCAGUACCUGUUAUCUAGCUCCGGAUUGAAUAUUAACAAACCUCCACCUCCUGUUGUCUGCCCAGGAGGUUUUGCCUUUUAGGCUUUUGUCUGCUUUCCAGAAGGCUAUGGGGCACCAGGCACUUUCUUCUUUAAAGGCAGUGAGUUAAUCGGAUUACUGUAGGGACUGACAGAAUGGUGGGUAUUUUGAUUCUUUAAAAAAAAAUGGGUGCAGGGGUCCUGAGGCCACAGCACCUAAAAGGAUGACCUACAUAGACCAAUGGUUUGCCUGAUGAUGCUAAUUUCCUUCUCUAAGGGGCUUGCUUUGGCUUCCUCCUCAGAAAGGAUGUCUGCCAUGUCCUAAUUGAGCCUGCUUGCUGACACUCUUGCAGCUUAAAACACCUUGACAGGUAAGCAGGACUAAGUGGAAUUGCCAGCCAAGCAAGAUUAUGAAUUGGCUUGAUCCUCUGGUUUAUUAGUUGCACAUAAUGACUGACAUUCAGCAGCAUAGAAACACUGGGUGGCAAACACAUAUAUGGAGAAAGCUCUAAGGGAUCUUCUACAUAAGAAUAAGAAAUAGAAUAAACCUUGUUCCUGCAUAUUCAUCAACAAUGAUCUGUCACAGCACUUUAGUUUUACCGGACUGUUUAGAAAUGGGUACUAUCAAAUAAAUGUCAAGUGGACCUGUAAAAUGGGUGUCUGAAAACACCUUUCCUAGCCAAUUAAUUUCAUAAAGUAGGGGGAUAGUUCAUAGAGUCGAGAUCCCUUUAGGGCUGAAUUUGAGGCCGGUACUGAAAAAUGCCAGCACGUGUUUUCAAUAUCAGGGCUGAGAUCUGGUGUGUGUGAGCUAGAGACAGAUGUUUUUCUUCUCCUUCUGAGAGCUGGAAAUAGUGUGAUAAAGCUUCACUCGCAGCUUCCCCUCCUCCAUGCCACAGCCUUGCAUCAGCUUAACAAGGUUUUCAGGUUUUACUGUUAUAGUCCUGCAAACCUGAUUGACCGGAGGUCAUAAAAGGACAGAACAAAUGAAGGUGGGGUGAGCUCUUAAAUAAAGCAACCAUCUCUCUCCUCAGUCUUUUAAAGAAAAGUAUUUUUCAAUUGCUGUGGAGUGCUUUUUUCUUUUACUCACAUCUACCUACCUGCCCAAACUUGGCUGGAAUUAUGCAGCAACACUUUGGGGGGGUCAGAGGGUUUGAUUCUUAAGAGCCCUCAGCAGCUCCAUGUUAAGAGCACGCCCCACUUUGUUCCUUCCCUCCGUGGUACUAGUGAGUAGAAUCCUGACCCUUUUUUUGAAUUUUUAUGUUCCUUUUUUUGGCCGACACGUAUGGCAAGCCAUUCCAAACAGUCCGAGCAAUUUGAGGGAACAAUGGCUUAAUCUAAAAGAUCGUGGCUGAGCAUGGACCGCUGCCAAUCUCGCGGAGUCCUCCCCAACUUCUUCUGGUGAAAACGAGAGCCUCCGGCCAGCUCUGCCUGGUAAACAGGGAGCGCAUUUGUGCAGGCGCGCCGAGUAAACAGUGCCUGGCAAACAGACCACCGGCUUGGCUGUGGCUGUGAGCAGAAAACCUUCCACUUCUCAGCACUUAGCAACCGAGCCAAGCGUUGUUCGCCGCCGCGCUUUCUCCCGGAGCCAGGCAGGCAGGCAGGCUCGAUUUGAUUUACAUUCUUGUUAGGACGCAAAGCUUUCGCUUGGCAGUUCAAGGGCAGGACAGGAACCGUGCAAGCGGAGUCUUGUGAACGGAAAUCUCUCAUUUACAAGGUUCUGCUCCGUCACCGAAAGCCACCCUCGAGCACAUUUGUUCCGCACGCAGCUCCCUUUUAUCUUCUUCACUCGCUCCUUCUUCCCACGGCUCGAAAGGCGGCGAGGGUUGGGGGAGGGAGCCGGCGUGGGGAACUACAAGCAAAUGCUACAGAAGCAAGUGAGCUCGGCUUGGCCUCCCGCUUAGGCCCAGGGCAGGCAGAAUGUAAAUAGGAAAACGAGCUCCGGCUCCACGCGUAGACGAGAGUCUCCAAGGCCAGACAAACAGAACUCAAGCACGUGAUCAGGCUACCCUGCAAGUCUGUGAAGGCGGCGAAAGGGGGGAGGGAAGAAUCUUCCCCCCCACACACACACACACCGCUUCGAGGCCUCGGAGCAAGGAGACGCUUGGAUAAAUUCUGAUGGAAGGCCAAGAGCCAGGAGGCCUGGGCUAUUUUUGUAGCUACCACAUCUCCAGAUUUCCUCUCUGGCCUCUGAAGAAACAUGUCAAUAAGAAAAAGUCAGCUGAGUGUUAUUAUCAAAUUGUGAUGUAUUUCUACAAGGUAUUACUUUGGGAGCAGGAACUGCUGUUACAUCUUCCUUCUUCUCAAGAACUCGUCAAAAUUCUUCAGAUUCCAUGAUAUCAGUAUCAAAAUAAAUAUUACCACACAUUCUACUAGAGAGACAUUUCCUUAGGAUGGGCUCCAGCACAAGAUUGACAGCUCGGAAGAUUAAACUUUUGAUCCUGUUGACUGACACAGAUUGGAUCCUGCAACAUUAUCCUUGGACAUGCAUUCGAUGGCCACUAUGUUGAAACAACCUGCUACUUUCACCGCUCUUCAGUGGGUGCUGUAUAAGAAUAUUUGGGCCCUGGCUGACUGAAAAAUCUUCGCACCAAUAUGGUUGUGCUUAAAGCAGCAAUAUCCCCCCCCCCAUGCCAACCAUUCUUUUCUUGUAAAGCAGAGUUUAUGCAAACAAUCAUCCAAUUCAAGGCAAAGGAACCAGAGCUCCUGGCUAGCAGCUUCCCUGCUGGAAAAAAAAAUUAAACUCAAAAGUAGUUGCAGAGAUUGUUUAUGCUGGCGCUUUCCUAUAUGCAGGAAACAGGCCUCUGCAGCAGAGAAAAGAGGACAUGAUUCUACUCUGGGCUGGCCCAUAAUCUUUGCUCAGCUAAGCUUUGAUAAAUAUCAUUUCAUGGUCAUUGCUUGAGAUGAAAAGUUCUCUCUGUUCAAUGUUGGGUGAUACAUAAAGUUUCUUUAAAAACAGUUUAUCGUUUUUUGAUUAAAAGGGUAGCAAAUCAAUUUGAAAUAGUAGUUUUCCUUUUAAAGAAAAAAGUGCCACUAUAUUUGGAAAUUAAAUGCCUUUUAUGGGAUGGGUGGCGCAUGCCAUUAAAUGUGUGAUACAGAGGAACAAGCACAUGAUCCUGAGUUUCCUUUUACCCACUCAGUGCAGAUCUGCUCGCUAGGAGAACUCAUCUCUCACUGACUUCCAUGGACCUUAGUUCAGAAACAACGGGCCCAUAGGCUGCUGCCUUCAAAUUAUUCCAUAUAACUCGCUAUUCCAUAUAAUAUGGUACAAUAUUAUGGUAGUAUCAAUCCCCGGUAAUCCAUUCUACCACUGAGAGAGCACUGCUCAGUGCACUGGCUUGGAAAUGGCGGGUGGGGAGGAAAUUUUCCUAGGCACAACUCUGUUCUGACCUCCAGCUUCCAAUCCCUGUUAGUGGAAAGCAAAGUUGCUCGGCUAAUUUUUUAUGAGGAGAAGGGAGACUGUAUUUUAAAAUUAGCUGCGAGGCUAGGUCCAGCUGACAGGAACAGCUACGACCCUUCCUGCCCCCUCCU